GUCAGGAUGGCCGAGCGGUCCAAGGCGCUGCGUUAAGGUCGCAGUCUCGAAAGAGGCGUGGGUUCGAAUCCCACUUUUGACA
Molecule: non-coding RNA, 82 nt
Organism: Oryzias latipes (Japanese medaka)
Lineage: Eukaryota; Metazoa; Chordata; Actinopteri; Beloniformes; Adrianichthyidae
Source: Rfam